GUAGGGGGCGAGCGUUGUCCGGAUUUAUUGGGCGUAAAGAGCUCGUAGGCGGUUCGAUAAGUCGGAUGUGAAAUCUCCACGCUCAACGUGGAGAGGCCAUUCGAUACUGUCGUGACUCGAGUCCGGUAGGGGAGUGUGGAAUUCCCGGUGUAGCGGUGAAAUGCGCAGAGAUCGGGAGGAACACCCGUAGCGAAGGCGGCACUCUGGGCCGGUACUGACGCUGAGGAGCGAAAGCGUGGGGAGCAAACAGGAUUAGAUACCCUGGUAGUCCACGCCGUAAACGUUGGGCACUAGGUGUGGGACUCUAUCGACGGGUUCCGUGCCGUAGCUAACGCAUUAAGUGCCCCGCCUGGGGAGUACGGCCGCAAGGCUA
This 373-nucleotide ribosomal RNA is filed under the name uncultured bacterium. Its description in RNAcentral is "bacterial SSU rRNA". It matches the Rfam family "Bacterial small subunit ribosomal RNA", at positions 527 to 896 of the family's 1533-position model. The record is from RNAcentral.